Molecule: unclassified non-coding RNA, 3863 nt
Filed under: Spisula solidissima (Atlantic surf clam)
Lineage: Eukaryota; Metazoa; Mollusca; Bivalvia; Venerida; Mactridae
Description: non-coding cnRNA11
Source: RNAcentral
GAAGUUAAUGCAUUUUUAAGUGCUUGGAAUGCCUUCUGACAACUAUCAGUCCAGUCCCCAGAUUUAAAUCUUCCCUUCUUAUUUCCCUUAAGUAAAUUGUUCAAAGGUGAAGCAAUAUAAGCAUAGCCUUUUACAAACUUCCGGUAAUAAUUACAAAGUCCUAGAAAACUUCUUAACUCAGUUUGUGAUCUAGGGACAGGGAAAUUCCUAACCUUCUCAGUUUUCUCUGGGUCAACAGAGACGCCAUCCUUUGACAAAAUAUGGCCUAGAAACAUUACUUUUUCCAAACCAAACUUACACUUGUCAUGUUUUAAGGUUAAAUUGGCUUCUCUCAAUUUACAAAACACCUCACUAAGGUGCUGCAAGUGCUCAUCAAAAUUCCUACUAAAGACUAAAAUGUCAUCAAUAUAGCAGAGUACAAAUUUCCAAUGCAACCCUCUUAAAACCUGUGACAUUAACAUCUGAAAAGACAUGGGAGCAUUCUUUAAUCCGAAAGGUAAACGGUUAAAUUCAAACACGCCUUCAUGGGUUAUAAAUGCAGAUUUGUGUUUGGUAGCAGGAUCAAGCUCCAUUUGAAAAUAAGCUGAAUUUAAAUCUAAGGUAGAAAAUACAGUGGCAGAAGAUGCACCUAUACCAUCAAAAACAUCUUCCAACCUUGGCAACGGAUGAGAUAUAGAUUUUGUGAUCUUAUUCAAUUUCCGAUAAUCAAUAGCAAAUCUGUAAGUAGAAUUUUUCUUACGAACCAACACUACCGGGCUAUUCCAUAUAGAAGUUGAAGGACUGACAAUGCCCUGCUUAAGCAUAUCGUGGGUUUGACGUUCAAUUUCAGCCUUUUGUAUAGGACCCUGUCUGUAAUGGUUCAUAUGUACAGGUUUAGCUCCAGGUUCAGUGUCUAUCCUAUGUUUAAAUACAUUUGUUUUACCAAUGGUUGAUAAUGAACUAGAGAAAACAUCAGAGUUUUGAGAUAGGAAAUGUUCAAGCUUUGAACACUGUUCAGGAGUCAAGUUUGAGUUAGAUAUGUUAAACUUAAAUUCAUCAUCUGAACUUUCAGCACAAUUGUCUGACAACACAUUUACUUGAGCACAUUUUUGAGAAGCACAAUUUUCAUCGAGAGUAAAUAUUGCAUCAGUUUGAACUCGACUAACUGACGCUAGGGUAAAAUUUAUGGGCAAAUGAAUAUCUACAUCAGUUGGAUUCAUUAUGCGAACAACAGCGCUAAGGUUUUUAUUUGAUUUGUUGGAUUUCCUAGCUUUUACUAAACAUCUAGCCAACAUAAAACCUCUAUCUGUUGGUAUUGGUUCUAACAAAACAACUUCAUCUCUGAAAGUUCUAGAUAAUGACACAGGGAUAUUAGUUUCCUCAUGUGCAUGAAUACAGACAGGAGAUGUAGUUUUAGCACAACCUGAACUAACCGUGAGUUUUGUUUUUAAAAGACCUUCUUUGACAUAAAAUGUUCCACGACCCAAAUCAACAAAGCAUUGGUUGUCAUACAUAAAGUCAAUGCCAAUGAUCAGGGAAUGGUGUAAAGACUCUAGCACAUGAAAUUUGUAACUGAAAUGACAUCCUGCAAUUACUAUUGGAACAUCAAUCUGUCCUAGCACAUCAACACUCUUGCCACCUACACCAGAAACUUGUUUUAAGUUACAGCACUUUAAAGAAUUUAAAUCUAAACCAGACUUUUUAAUGAAAGAUUUUGAAAUACAGGAUAUGGAUGCACCUGUAUCAAUUAAACCCUGAGUUUUCACAUUGUUUAUCCUAACUUGAAUAGUGUUUUUGUUUAAUGGGGCAAUUAGUGAAACAGAGUUUGAAUCUAUUAAGUUUUCAGUGUAAUUGACUUGUUUAGACUGAGUUUUCCCAUUGUGCCCAUUCACAGACUUUUGCCUAUGAACAGGCGCGAGUCCCUAUCUGUAAUUAUUCCUAUUUGGAUUAUUGCAAGCUGGAGCAACGUGACAUGGAAAAUUACACAUCUGACAUAWAACUGGUUGKGAUUCCCUACUAGAUCUAUUAAAAUCAUUCCUACCUGAUUNCUNGGGKGGNGUCUCCUGGACUGAUUCUGGUGCUGUUGCUGCGGUUGCUGCUGUUGCUGCUGAGGUUUUGCAUUCUUUAUCUGGGUAAGAGUGUCAUGUAGUUGUCUCAUCAUGUCAGUUAAUUGAUUAAGAGUCUGAUCAUUAUUUCCAGUAUUAACACUAGACACUUCAACAGAGUCACUUACUGUCUGUUCUGCACGGAUAGCAGCUUGACGAGCUUCAUCUAAUGACGCGAGUGAUUGAGGCUUCACCAAAUUCCUUAAAGAGGGGUAUAAACCAUCCACAAAGUUUGAGACAAGCCAGAUCUGCGGCAUGUCUUUGUCAUUUGUUUGUGUCAUAAAUCUUGUUGUAUACUCCCACACACUUUCCGCUGGUUUCUGCUUAAGUGAGCUGACGGAAAAUCCAGCAUCACUUCCAUCGAAUCUCUUCUCGAAGGCUGCAACUAACYCUGCAUGGUCAUCUUUCACUUCUGUUGUUAACGAAUCAUACCAGGCUAAUGCCUGAUCUACUAGAUGAAAUGGAAAUGUAUUAUAAACUUUUGUAUCAUUCCAUCCGUAUACGUUUUUACACAGUUGUUUAUAAUUUUCUAACCACUUUGCCCCUUUACAUCCCGGGGCACCGGCAAACACUUUGACUUUAACUUCUGGCCCCUUUGCUGCCAUUUCUUCAGUUUCUGCAGCUGAUGGUUCUUCUAUGUCAACAACAACUGAUGGAUUUUCAUCUACCACAGGGUUUAUUUCGACUGUUGAUGCAGGUGUCACAGAACUUUCAGGACUUGUUGGGUGUAGUGUAACACUGACAGGUGUCUUGUCUGAUGAUCUGCCUUGCRGCCUCAGGAAUGUGUUUCGGCUAGUUGAGUUACCCGGAUUCUCCACCAAAACUGUUAUGAGGAGCCUUUGACGGCCGCUCAAGUGUCUGUUAACUGACUACCGCGGCAAACUCUACAACGUGCGCCCGCUAUUCAGAGAUAGCUACUUUGUGCAGGUGUCCUUUAUAUCGGACGCUAAGGCGAUCUUAUCUGUAAAACAGAUGACAAGACUUUGUAUUAAGUAUGAUGUUUAUUUGUUGAUGUNCCAAUUAAGAAUGAUACAAUACAUAGUCNUAUUAAUGAUGCGCUAUAUUNGGGUAUAUGGGAGUACAAGUUANCUCAUUUAAGGUAAGUGKNGUGUAAUAGGCAAUAUCAAGAACUUUGCAUUGCNCMCUGUACGGUUAAAGCUGACCGUGUUUUGCACUGAAUUGCAAUUUUAAAACAAUUUUUACCGUGCCGUUUUUUACAUAUAGCGUAUUGUUUAUGGUUUUAUCUCAAGCUUAAAUUGUGUCAAAUUUCAAUGUGAUGACCCCUGGUCAAAACGUUYGCAGAGAAUAAAAUUGAUUAUUACAGUUGAUAAAAGAAACNCCAUUCUAUCAAUAAACAAUUAAAAAACGCAAAGUAAAGCAUUCAAUAUAAAAAAAAUUCUUGGUUGCCUUAAAAUAGGAUUUACCGAGUCAGAAUUCUAAUUUCGAAAUUAAAAAAUAAGCAUCAAAUCCUUCUGGUCUGCUUUGAAUGUUGCUUAUUUUUAUUCAAAACUAAGCCUGGGGAAGAAGUAAAACCAACCUAUAUUUCUUCCCCAAUAUGUAAUCUAAAGAUUAAAUGGACAAUAGAAAACUUUUACCGUAUGUAACUCAGUAUUUUUAAAAAAGUCUAACCCUACCCCCUCUGUUUCAGAGGUAAAUUCACUUUGAACAGAAAACAUAAAUGUUUAAAAUAUUUUUUUCUCACUUUUUUCAACAUUUUAUCAAUAAAAAGUAUUGAAAUAAGUAAAAACUUACUAGAAAAAAAAAAAAAAAAAAAAAAAA